RNAcentral lists this long non-coding RNA (1143 nucleotides) under Rhinopithecus bieti (black snub-nosed monkey). Its description in RNAcentral is "lncRNA (ENSRBIG00000045326.1)". The record is from RNAcentral. Lineage: Eukaryota; Metazoa; Chordata; Mammalia; Primates; Cercopithecidae.
UAAACCUCUUCACUCCAUAUUUAUCUUGAAGAUUAUGCUGAACAAAGUCCAUAGUCAUUCUUGGUGAUUUAGUCUCAGGUAUCUGAGUGCUUGUAGUUAUUUAUUUAUUCUUUUUCCCAGAGAUCAUUACAGCUUCUCGACAUGAGAAUCAAGAACUUUUUCCGUUCGUGUAUGGUUUUGUUACUUCAAAGAACAAAUCACAGGAACCUUGACAUCAGUUUCACCUCUCCUCUGGGGUUGAGAGAUGGAAAGAAGGGUCAGGAACUUGAACAGAAAUCCAGCCCUCAGUACAUUUCACCCUGCACAUAGGGAUGUGCACUGACUUGACUCUUGUGGAAUCCUGCAACCAGCCCAUUUUGCUUGUUUGAGGACCUGGAGAUGAUCCACCACCUAAGGUGGCACUGUGACCAGAAGAAAUUGAUUACCACUCCCUACAACUACAGAACUGAGCACGUUAGAGAUCCAUCCAGAGCGACUGCUAGCAGCAGUACUUGAAGCCUUUCCACUAAAGGUAAGUUGGGAGAAGUUGCAAUGGUGUACCUGGAAUAAGAAUGAGUCCUCCAUUGAUUUCCAGCAGCAGUUUGUGGAGGCUUUCUCAGAAUUUACUAGCAUGGACCCAGGAAGAGAUAAAAUCACUCCCUAAUCUUGGCAAACUUUGUCUCUGCUCUCUUGCUGACUAGCCAAGCCCAAAUUAAGGAAAAGGUGUUAGGAUAGCAAGGACAGACUAUUGUUCAAAUCCUAGCAGCAGCCACUACUCAGUUUAGGGAUAAGACAAAGAACAACAGAGAUUAAAGACUGCUGUUGGCUGCUCAGUGAGAAUUAGUUACUAAGGAGGAUAAUCCCUAUACCGGGCAAAGUAUAAAGAUAGCAAAGGAAGAGGAGAAAACAGAAUGUUGUUAUUGCAAAAUACCAGGGCACUGGAAGGACUAUAGAAAGAGACUCGGGAGGAUACCAAAAUUGCAGAGUCAAGAGAGUCAGGAAAGCUGAGAAAGAUGAAACCCUCAGCUAGGAAAUAGUUGGCAAAUGGCUCAAAACUGACAGAUUGGGGGAAUCUCAGAGGUGGGAAGUGGUAAACCAUCUAUGUCAAGGACUUCCAUCCUUGGCUUUUCUGGUAGAUAUUGGUGCUACUUAUUCUGCAGUUUC